UAUCACUUUGUUCAAUUAUUGUGUUUGAGCCAAAUUAAUCAAGUUCAGAUGGUCUCCCUUAAACAAGCUUUUCUCUUCAUUGCUCUCUUUGUUGCAAUUUCAGAAUAUCAGUACAGUAAAAAAAAAAAAGAACGAGAGAUCGAGAAACGGAGAAAACGGGGAGAAGAAAAGAGUUUGAGAUUUUUCGGCGAGGUUAUGCCGAAAACGUCAUCAACUCAUCGAAUCCGACCCCCCGUCAUGAAGACCCGUCGAAAUUUCCAUCUCAUCGGUGACUAAACAGCAUAUCCACCACUGGAAAACAGCAAUUCGCCGGAAUCCGUUGUUGCACCAUUCCCUUCUUCACUUUUCCCGCCUCUGUUAUGCCAUGGCCAUCCAGAUCUGGCCGGUUUUGACUACUCAGCAAAUCGCCGGCAAGCUAUCAACCGCGCCAUGAACCAACGGCGAAAUCAACCGGCCCCACGCCACCGCCGCACCCCUCUCCCUCUUCCCUGAACCAAAAUUCGACUCUUGUGGUCAGUUCCGGCGAACCAAAUUGCCAGAAAAACACCACCUGUGCCGACCUUCCCCCUCUCUCCUUUUCCAUCAUUCAAAUUUCCUUUGCCUAACCAGAUCUGCCGGUAACCCGAUGUCAAUCCCGACUUCCAUCAUUCAAAUAAUGGAGUAUGAAGUGAUGAUAGUGAGAUUGGAAAUAUGUAAUGGAAUUGUAUGAGUGAAUAUUGUGUUAACAGGUUUAGAAGUAAUAUUAAUAAAUGUUGGAAGAGAUGAAUUUUGUGUAUUGAUGGAAAAUUGGAAAAAUGGAAGCAGCGGUGUUUUGGAAUUAUGUGUUUCAAGAAGAAAAAUACAUGACAGCGUAUAAAUUGUUUUGUUUGG
Capsicum annuum is the source of this 870-nucleotide long non-coding RNA. RefSeq lists it as uncharacterized. NCBI's taxonomy places the organism in Eukaryota, Viridiplantae, Streptophyta, Magnoliopsida, Solanales, Solanaceae. The record is from RefSeq and is a predicted model, not a curated record. The transcript has 2 exons.